GCUCGUAGUUGGAUUUCUGUUGAGGACGGCCGGUCCGCACUAUGUGCGGUUUCUGGUUCGGCUUGGCAUCCUCUUGAGGAUUUAUCUGCGCUUGAUUGCGUGGAGCGGUAUUCAAGACUUUUACUUUGAGGAAAUUAGAGUGUUCACGGCAGGCAAGCGCCUUGAAUACGUUAGCUUGGAAUGAUAAUAUAGGAUCUUGCCCCUAUUUUGUUGG
Molecule: ribosomal RNA, 214 nt
Filed under: uncultured eukaryote
Lineage: Eukaryota
Description: partial 18S ribosomal RNA
Rfam family: Eukaryotic small subunit ribosomal RNA
Source: RNAcentral